This 112-nucleotide ribosomal RNA is filed under the name Propithecus coquereli (Coquerel's sifaka). The record is from RNAcentral. Lineage: Eukaryota; Metazoa; Chordata; Mammalia; Primates; Indriidae.
GUCUACAGCCAUACCACCCUGAACGCACCCAAUCUCGUCUGAUCUCGGAAGCUAAGCAGGGUCGGACCUGGUUAGUACUUGGAUGGGAGGAAGAUAACAAGAAAUGAAGAAA